This 2115-nucleotide long non-coding RNA is filed under the name Olea europaea subsp. europaea. Lineage: Eukaryota; Viridiplantae; Streptophyta; Magnoliopsida; Lamiales; Oleaceae. The record is from RNAcentral.
CAAAUAGCGAAUUCCCAUAUAUCAUCGGUCUUUAACUCAAAUUCUUUCAUAUUUUCUUUCACAAUUGGAUCCCCACUGUUAUGAUUAUAAAGAUAAUCUAGAGGUGGGAUUUGUUGAAUAGGAGCUGGACAGUAAAUUUUAAUGUCAACAGAUUGUUCUCUGGAUUCCGAAUCGGAAGUAAAGAUGGAGAAGAAGAAAAAGAGAAAACAACAGAGGGCUCUUCUAAAACGAGCAUGACCAGUUCUGGUUUGACCCAGAAGAGAAAUAGCUUUCUUUAAUUUGUUUACUGCCACGUCCGUCACAGCCACAUAAUCUGUCUAUGUUUCGAUGCCUACUUUUUCUUCAGAUAAGUGAUUCUGCUUAUUUGGAGAUGAAAAUAAUCUAAUAAGCUUCUCAACCCUCUGAAAGCCGAAUGCAGAUUUUUUCACCUCUUUUUGUUCUGAUCGUGAAACGAUGUUUCUCUGAUUCAUUAUGAGCUCCACAGCCAUAGCUAACUGGAGAAUAAAGUGCAGGGAAAGUGUUUGAUAAAUGGUCAAAAUGAUGCCAUAGUCGAGAAUAAUGACCACGUUUUCCCCGGAUUAUAUGUUAAUAAAGAUAUUUAAGCUUCUCCAUUAGAAUUCUCAAGUUAAUAUUCAUAUGCACAAGCUUAUUUUUAUUAUGAGUUUCUAAUUUUUUGAGCCCUUACAGGCAUUUAAUAAAAUUCAGAAGCUACCCAAUAAAACUUAUGGGAAGGUUGUUGGCGACCGACAACUGCUCCCUUUGUUGUGCGUGAAAACACUGACUUUGAGGAUGCUGUGAGAUAUUGACUUCUUUUCUUUGAUUAUAUUUUACUUGACAUAAAUUUGACCUAAGUUUUCUGCUUGGUGAUGUAAUUGGGAUUCUUUCUUUGCCUUGAUCCUGCAACUUCACCAAAUGUAUAAUGUGAAAACUGGGUUUUGGAUCUGAAAUAGAUUGAAAUAAGAUUUUAAGGAAAAUAAGCUUAAUCAUCCUCAAUUAUCAUUGAAAAUUGAAGUGGAUAUCUGUAAUAAUGAAUAAUGGUGUGUGAUGAAUUUGUAAAAGUAGAUAGGUUCUUCAUGAAGGAAUUUUUUUAAGUAUUCCCUCUUAAUCAUUUUCUAGGAUAAUAAGCAGAUUAUGACUGACAAGAGAAGAUAAAAACAAAAGCCAUUUAGGCACAUGGUUAAAGAAUUUUGACUGGGAUGUAACAUUUGAUUAAAUUCCAACACCAGUAAUUUAUGGGUACAAGCUUGUAAAACCUUCAUCUUCUAUGGCUUUCAUUAUGUCUAAAUUGUAUUGGCUUUGCAUUGGACCUUAUGUUUGUGCAGAAUGGAACUUUGGGUAGUUAAAUUUCUGAAAAAAAAGUGCUUAGAUUUGUUCCAUUAUUUACUUUUAAUUUCUUAUUCAAUGUUUAAUUACUUGGAUUCCAGUAAGUGUCCAGUUUGGUUGAAGUAUGUCCAAGUAUUAGCUUUAGAAAUGAUAAUGAACCUUUCAACGUCCUUUUCUUUGUUUUUGUUAACACAUUCUGAUAAUUUGUGAAAUUCCUCUUAAAAAGUCAAAUUUGAAGCCCGUUUCAGUAAAUGACUUAGAAAUUGGAUGGUUUAAUUUGUUUUUGGUGCGAUAUUUGUAGAAAGCAAUGUAGAGUUUUACCCAAAAAAUGGAGGAAAGAUUUUUUCAGUCUCAAGGUCGUCCUAUUAUCUCAGGCAUUUUUUUCCCUUUAUACUUGCUUAUACUUGGUUCGUAUCUCUAAUCAGGAUAAUAUUUUGGGGUUCCAUAUUUGCCAUAUUUUUAAUGAGAACAAAUGGAAAUUCUGUAUCUUUAACAGAGUUGAUCAAUGUUUUGUUAAACUUGUUGGGAAUCUACUUAUACAUGCACAGCGGAAUUUAAAAUAUAUUUCGAUUCCCAUCCAAUAGAUCUCAUUGUGUUUGGUUAAGAAUUGUGAUAAGAAUGUACCUUUUCCAGAUCUGCAAUCCUUUUGCUUUUCUUUUCGUUCCACAACUUUGAUUCGCCACCACAGCUGUCCAAUUGUCCAGCCUCCAACGGUGAUCCACACAGAGAAUUUGAUUGCAGCCUCUAGGGUUUUCUCUUGUGCUAGCAAGAAUAAUGAAAACCUUAAUGGAC